UCCCGUAUCUGGCGUGUGCGAGCGCGUUGUACGUUUCCCUGAGAGUCGGGUUGCUCGGGAUUGCAGCCUUAAUGGGAGGUAAAUUUCUCUCAAAGCUAAAUACUGGCGAGAGACCGAUAGCGAACAAGUACCGUGAGGGAAAGAUGCAAAGAACUUUGAAAAGAGAGUUAAAAAGUACCUGAACUUGUUGGGGGGGAAGCGUUUGCGUCCAGUGUGCCGUGAUCGAUUCAGCCCUCUUGAGGGUGCACUUUGGUCUCGGCGGUCAGGGUGGGUUUGGCGUGGCGUUGACGGUCCCCCGGAGGCCUUCGGGCAAUGGGGUGGCUUUGCGUCGCUCCGGACCGAGGCUCGCUCGCAUCGCGCGUCGGUGGAUCCCGUUUGGGUCUGACAAGUAACUUGUCUUCUCAUCGGGUGAAUCCUUCAGUGCGUGGUUAGCGUGACCCUGUCGAAAUGGUCGCAACCGACCCGUCUAGAAACACGGACCAAGGAGUCUGACGACUGCGCGAGUCUUCGGGUGGCAACCCCGCGGGCGCAAUGAAAGUGACUUGGUGUUCAUCACCGACCGACCGUGAUCUUUUGUGAAUGGUUUGAGUACGAGCGUAGUCGCCGGGACCCGAAAGAUGGUGAACUAUGCCUGAGUAGGGUGAAGCCUGAAGAAAUUCAGGUGGAGGCUCGUAGCGAUACUGACGUGCAAAUCGUUCGUCGAACUUGGGUAUAGGGGCGAAAGACUAAUCGAACCAUCUAGUAGCUGGUUCCCUCCGAAGUUUCCCUCAGGAUAGCUGGAGCUCGUUUUAAUUCAGUUUUGU
RNAcentral lists this ribosomal RNA (803 nucleotides) under Pavlova sp. EMB-2011. RNAcentral describes it as "eukaryotic LSU rRNA". It matches the Rfam family "Eukaryotic large subunit ribosomal RNA", at positions 219 to 1004 of the family's 3401-position model. The record is from RNAcentral. Lineage: Eukaryota; Haptophyta; Pavlovophyceae; Pavlovales; Pavlovaceae.